This 496-nucleotide ribosomal RNA is filed under the name uncultured bacterium. Its description in RNAcentral is "bacterial SSU rRNA". It matches the Rfam family "Bacterial small subunit ribosomal RNA", at positions 28 to 504 of the family's 1533-position model. The record is from RNAcentral.
GACGAACGCUGGCGGCGUGCCUAAUACAUGCAAGUCGUGCGGACCUUUUAAAAGCUUGCUUUUAAAAGGUUAGCGGCGGACGGGUGAGUAACACGUGGGCAACCUGCCUGUAAGACUGGGAUAACGCCGGGAAACCGGGGCUAAUACCGGAUAGUUUUUUCCUCCGCAUGGAGGAAAAAGGAAAGGCGGCUUCGGCUGCCACUUACAGAUGGGCCCGCGGCGCAUUAGCUAGUUGGCGGGGUAACGGCCCACCAAGGCAACGAUGCGUAGCCGACCUGAGAGGGUGAUCGGCCACAUUGGGACUGAGACACGGCCCAAACUCCUACGGGAGGCAGCAGUAGGGAAUCUUCCGCAAAGGACGAAAGUCUGACGGAGCAACGCCGCGUGAGUGAAGAAGGCCUUCGGGUCGUAAAACUCUGUUGCCGGGGAAGAACAAGUGCCGUUCGAAUAGGGCGGCGCCUUGACGGUACCCGGCCAGAAAGCCACGGCUAACUAC